GUGGUUACUGACAGUCUAUUAGAGAAGGUUAGCCCUCCCCUUUGAGGAUGGACAAAGUCCUCGUGGAUUACAGCACACAAAUGGUUAAGGCAUUUCCAUCUACUUAGUGGCAUUAGUCCCAGAUGAUGU
Chiloscyllium plagiosum (whitespotted bambooshark) is the source of this 129-nucleotide small nuclear RNA. The record is from RefSeq and is a predicted model, not a curated record. Lineage: Eukaryota; Metazoa; Chordata; Chondrichthyes; Orectolobiformes; Hemiscylliidae.